UGAGUAAAGGGCUUGUAUCUACCAUGGA
This 28-nucleotide non-coding RNA is filed under the name Mus musculus (house mouse). The record is from RNAcentral. Lineage: Eukaryota; Metazoa; Chordata; Mammalia; Rodentia; Muridae.